Long non-coding RNA from Canis lupus familiaris (dog), 642 nucleotides. RefSeq lists it as uncharacterized. The record is from RefSeq and is a predicted model, not a curated record. NCBI's taxonomy places the organism in Eukaryota, Metazoa, Chordata, Mammalia, Carnivora, Canidae. The transcript has 4 exons.
ACCAGGUGAAGCUGACUAAUCCUCACUCUUUGGCACAAACCGUAGGCUCUAUGCGUUCUUGUGUACCUUGAGUUUGUGUUUAAUAAUCUCUUUCGAGGCCUAUUUGAUUUUAGUGUAUCCAGAGCUUCCAAAAUUUUAAGAUCACUGCAUAGUUGUCCAUUGUGUGAAGAUACCAUAAUUUAUUUAAACAGUCUUUACUGGUGGACAUUUAGCCUCCAGUGUUUCUGCUGAAAAAUCUGGUUAUAGUCUUAUGUGUUCUAAAUGACUAAAGUCAAAGACCAGUGACUGGUGGAGCAAUCAAGCUAGCUAAAGAGUGUUGAGAACACUGAUCCCAAGCAGGACCUGAAGGACUCCUUUUCCUGCAACAUGAUUAAUGCAGAAUGUUGACUUCACACUUCACUGGCCCAGUUGUGAUCAAACCCAGGAUCCCUGGAUGUUACAGUACUUCCUACAAGGAGCAGAGACAAAAGUUUUCAAACUUUGGAUGUAAAUGAGCCACUCCUUCAAAAGGAUCCUGGUUUGGGCAGCCUGGGUGGCUCAGCAGUUCAAUGCCACCUUCAGCCCAGGGUGUGAUCCUGGAGACCCAGGAUUGAGUACUGUGUCGGGCUCCCUGCAGGGAGCCUGCUUGUUCCUUUGCCUGUG